UCGUCCUUGCACACGGGGCACUCGAGCCCGGAGCCUACGUGCUCCUCGGUGACGGGGACGGUGGGGAGGGUCCUUGCUGCCGUCAGCCUGCGCCCCAGGAGAGAACGUGGGGAUCUCGAAGCUGUCGUCAAAGAUGCCGAAAGCAAACUGUCCGUAGCCCUGCGGCAGCGUGAACAGAUAUAAUCCGAUAGGCGCGGGACGGUGUCCAGG
RNAcentral lists this long non-coding RNA (210 nucleotides) under Homo sapiens (human). Its description in RNAcentral is "HSALNT0390734". The record is from RNAcentral. Lineage: Eukaryota; Metazoa; Chordata; Mammalia; Primates; Hominidae.